AGAGUUUGAUCAUGGCUCAGAUUGAACGCUGGCGGCAUGCUUUACACAUGCAAGUCGAGCGGCAGCGCGGGGGCAACCCUGGCGGCGAGCGGCGAACGGGUGAGUAAUGCAUCGGAACGUACCCUGGAGUGGGGGAUAACGCCGCGAAAGCGGCGCUAAUACCGCAUAUGCUCUGAGGAGGAAAGUGGGGGACCGCAAGGCCUCACGCUCUGGGAGCGGCCGAUGUCCGAUUAGCUAGUUGGUGAGGUAAAGGCUUACCAAGGCGACGAUCGGUAGCUGGUCUGAGAGGAUGAUCAGCCACACUGGGACUGAGACACGGCCCAGACUCCUACGGGAGGCAGCAGUGGGGAAUUUUGGACAAUGGGGGCAACCCUGAUCCAGCCAUGCCGCGUGAGUGAAGAAGGCCUUCGGGUUGUAAAGCUCUUUUGGUCGGGAAGAAAGUGCCCUGCUUAAUACGCGGGGUAUUUGACGGUACCGGCAGAAUAAGCACCGGCUAACUACGUG
Molecule: ribosomal RNA, 504 nt
Filed under: uncultured bacterium
Lineage: Bacteria
Description: bacterial SSU rRNA
Rfam family: Bacterial small subunit ribosomal RNA
Source: RNAcentral